AAAGCUAAAGCUUUGAAGAAGCGUUAAACUUUUAAUUUAAAAAUCUUGAUUAACAAGUAGCUUUG
RNAcentral lists this transfer RNA (65 nucleotides) under Mytilus californianus (California mussel). RNAcentral's name for it is "tRNA-Lys". The record is from RNAcentral. Lineage: Eukaryota; Metazoa; Mollusca; Bivalvia; Mytilida; Mytilidae.